This 521-nucleotide ribosomal RNA is filed under the name uncultured bacterium. Its description in RNAcentral is "bacterial SSU rRNA". It matches the Rfam family "Archaeal small subunit ribosomal RNA", at positions 345 to 866 of the family's 1478-position model. The record is from RNAcentral.
AACCUCCGCAAUGUGAGAAAUCGCGACGGGGGGAUCCCAAGUGCUAUUCUUAACGGGAUGGCUUUUCAUUAGUGUAAAGAGCUUUUGGAAUAAGGGCUGGGCAAGACCGGUGCCAGCCGCCGCGGUAACACCGGCAGCUCUAGUGGUAGCAGUUUUUAUUGGGCCUAAAGCGUCCGUAGCCGGUUUAAUAAGUCUCUGGUGAAAUCCUGUAGCUUAACUGUGGGAAUUGCUGGAGAUACUAUUAGACUUGAGACCGGGAGAGGUUAGAGGUACUCCCAGGGUAGAGGUGAAAUUCUGUAAUCCUGGGAGGACCGCCUGUUGCGAAGGCGUCUAACUGGAACGGUUCUGACGGUGAGGGACGAAAGUUAGGGGCGCGAACCGGAUUAGAUACCCGGGUAGUCCUAACCGUAAACGAUGCGGACUUGGUGUUGGGGUGGCUUUGAGCUGCUCCAGUGCCGAAGGGAAGCUGUUAAGUCCGCCGCCUGGGAAGUACGGUCGCAAGACUGAAACUUAAAGGAAUU